Styela clava is the source of this 2094-nucleotide long non-coding RNA. RefSeq lists it as uncharacterized. NCBI's taxonomy places the organism in Eukaryota, Metazoa, Chordata, Ascidiacea, Stolidobranchia, Styelidae. The record is from RefSeq and is a predicted model, not a curated record.
CCAAAGUCUCAUCUAACCGGCGCACAUAUAUAACUGUUUGUGUCCAAAUUCAAAUCACAAAGCUGAAAAAAUAUCAGAGUGAUAUAAAAUGUUCCGAGGAAAGUACUUGAAGCAUUGGCAAACUCCUAACUCGUUGAAGUAAAAAAAUUUGAAUUUUUCGGAAUCGGAUACGACUCACGGUACUGCCAUCGUCAAGUCGCGCUGGUAGCUCAGGUUAGGUCCCGCUAUUGAAAUGUUAAUUUACCAGUUGAUAUUUUCAAAUGCAUGAUUUUGACUGGCGCAUUUAUCUGUAUCGGAGCAGCGAUUACGUGCAUCGCCUUUCACUGACAAGUAUUCCAGGAAUCCCGGCGAAUAUGAGACUCCCAGGGGUUUUAAACGGUACGCGCAUCAUAGUGCUCUACCUGUGUAGCCUUGUAGAUCGAAAUAAUAAACCGCUAGGUGGAACCAACGAGCAAGUUUUCGCAUGUAUUUUCCAUAGCAACUUGAAAAAUACCGAAUAUUGGGACUUUAAUAAUACGCUCCGGCUGAAUACUUCUAACCGAGCACAAUUAAUUAUAAAAAAGAUGUGCACAAAAUAUGAGAUCCAUCUUAUCAAGAAUGAACUGUGAUUCUGCUCGUCACACCACAGGAUAGGUUUUGACCUUGGGAGGAGGGAUACAAGGUCAUUAGUUGAAAACCAUCAAGUGUGAGGUGUGCAUAAAACAAGCAUUCAUAGAUGUGGCCAUAUAUGAUCCGCACCGGAAAAGGAACAAGAGAAGACAAAAAUAACUUCAAACAAAACGUGUAAACAAAGACUUUUAAAUUCAAUUGAUUGAAUUAUUUCCUAGAUAAGCUUUUGAUCUGUGAAUUCCUGCACGUGCUAGGCUUGUUAAUUGCUAAUUAGAAAUUCAUUAAAAUAAUUGCGCAAAGUCAUGGAGUUCUAUUCGAACCCGAAGUUAAAUAAAACUUUAUUUUAGACAGUCUAUUAAUUAACAAAUUUUUGAUUUGACAUGAGUGUGGACGUGUUGAUUGCUAAUUAAAAAAUUUCAUGCACACCUAAGUUUAACAAAACAUAAUUUUAAACCCGUCGAUUGGUGAAAUUUUCGAUUUGGCUUGCAAAGUAAAUGCAUUCGGAAUAAUUAAACCCUGCACAUGCUUUUAAAUCAGCAAUGAGACAUUGGAAAUAAUGUGGAGAGAUCGAAAAUUCAUUCUUUUUUUAGUCAAAUUUUUUUUAUUCAACUCCAGUUACAGAUAAUGAGUUCAAAGUAAUUUAUUGGGAUCUUACUGAUAUAUUACUACUUGAAAAAUAUGUUUUAGGAAUUCAGAUAAAGUAGCUUUUUAUGAAAAAUCUGUCAUAUCUGCAUUGAAAUUAUGAUUUCAAAUAAAAAAGAAGUUAGCAUCUAUUAUGCGUUCGUUGUAAAAUAUUCAGAAUUGAUUUCAAGCCAUAAUUCUAGAAUAAGGAACUUAGUUCAGUUAUGUUCUGAAAACUUUCUUGUUAACCAGAUAAUUUCUGUAUUUAUAAGUAUACGGUAUUUAAGUAUACGGUAACUUUUUAAAAGUAUACGGUAACUUUUCAAAAGUUGAAAUCUCGACAUUAAACCUAUAGUCAUAACUAUUUUGACAUCACAAGCUUUUGUUUAUAAUGGAACAAUAACUCAUUAAACGAUGAAAGCCAUUGAAUAGCACUUCAAAAUAUUGAGUGUUUGCGCUCCCAGCACUUGAGUAUCACUCAGCGAGGCUGAGUGCCUGGUAGCAUAAAUAUGAGAGUCUAACUAUGAUGUCAUUUGUAAUGCACAGUUUAUACUUAUUGUCUUUUCAUAUUACAUUAAAUAAUGUUCACACUUGAAUAGACUGUUUUUCUUAUUCAUCAAGUUUUUCAAGUCCCAAAACCUUGACUUGAAGGAAACGCUCAACAGUCUGCGCAAAGCGAUUCAGAUAUAACACCUGCUUGCUAUCGCACCUACGAUACCCCUACACAGGUUCUAAUUUGUAGGAAUAAUUAUGUACCAGAGAAUUGCGGACUCAUUGGUUGACUAUUCCUGUAUUCCCAUUCCCUACAUGGUCUGGUAACUGGAAUAGAGGAUGUGGUAUGCCAUAUGCACUCAUAGGCCAAGC